This 484-nucleotide ribosomal RNA is filed under the name uncultured bacterium. RNAcentral describes it as "partial 16S ribosomal RNA". It matches the Rfam family "Bacterial small subunit ribosomal RNA", at positions 30 to 507 of the family's 1533-position model. The record is from RNAcentral.
AUUGAACGCUGGCGGCAGGCCUAACACAUGCCAGUCGAGCGGAUGAAGGGAGCUUGCUCCUGGAUUCAGCGGCGGACGGGUGAGUAAUGCCUAGGAAUCUGCCUGGUAGUGGGGGAUAACGUCCGGAAACGGGCGCUAAUACCGCAUACGUCCUGAGGGAGAAAGUGGGGGAUCUUCGGACCUCACGCUAUCAGAUGAGCCUAGGUCGGAUUAGCUAGUUGGUGGGGUAAAGGCCUACCAAGGCGACGAUCCGUAACUGGUCUGAGAGGAUGAUCAGUCACACUGGAACUGAGACACGGUCCAGACUCCUACGGGAGGCAGCAGUGGGGAAUAUUGGACAAUGGGCGAAAGCCUGAUCCAGCCAUGCCGCGUGUGUGAAGAAGGUCUUCGGAUUGUAAAGAACUUUAAGUUGGGAGGAAGGGCAGUAAGUUAAUACCUUGCUGUUUUGACGUUACCAACAGAAUAAGCACCGGCUAACUUCGUG